CAGUAGCCGCGGGAAAACGUAGGGUGCGAGCGUUAAUCGGAAUUACUGGGCGUAAAGCGUGCGCAGGCGGCUUUGCAAGACAGAUGUGAAAUCCCCGGGCUCAACCUGGGAACUGCAUUUGUGACUGCAAGGCUAGAGUGCGGCAGAGGGAGAUAGAAUUCCGCGUGUAGCAGUGAAAUGCGUAGAUAUGCGGAGGAACACCGAUGGCGAAGGCAAUCUCCUGGGCCUGCACUGACGCUCAUGCACGAAAGCGUGGGGAGCAAACAGGAUUAGAUACCCGAGUAGUCCCUGUCUCUUAUAC
This 301-nucleotide ribosomal RNA is filed under the name uncultured bacterium. Its description in RNAcentral is "partial 16S ribosomal RNA". It matches the Rfam family "Bacterial small subunit ribosomal RNA", at positions 509 to 807 of the family's 1533-position model. The record is from RNAcentral.